CUUGCCUAUGCUGCUCUGUACCAUCACUCAUUCAUAUAUCCUUAUGUACAUAUUCUUUAUCCCCUUACACUGUGUAUAAGACAGUAGUUUCGGAAUUGUUAGAUUACUUGUUGGUUAUUACUGCAUUGUCGGAACUAGAAGCACAAGCAUUUCGCUACACUCGCAUUAACAUCUGCUAACCAUGUGUAUGUGACAAAUAAAAUUUGAUUUGAUUUGAAAAGGGUGGCCUGGUCCAGCUCUGGGAAACACAUCACAGGAAUAAGGACAGAUGUAUUGCCUCUUGCCAGACCACCAUAGGUACAGAGAACUUGUUUACAAUCUCGCUUGGUUAAGGACUUCACGUUUUUUUCCAUUACAUACAAUAAGAGCAUUUACUACAGUCCCUGUACAGAUGUAUGACCCUGGAGUGUUGAGGCAUGUUUUGGUUUGGCUGAUCGACACCUACAGCAAAUCAAUCAAAAACACAAAAAUAGUACAGGACCAACCAAAACAACAUUCACCUCCUUCACUAUUACCCUCCUCACUAGGCCCUGUAGAGCUGAAGGUGUCGAUACAGUACUCCUCACUAGGCCCUGUAGAGCUGAAGGUGUCGAUACAGUACUCCUCGCUAGGCCCUGUAAGAGCUGAAGGUGUCGAUACAGUACUCCUCGCUAGGCCCUGUAGAGCUGAAGGUGUCGAUACAGUACUCCUCGCUAGGCCCUGUAGAGCUGAGGGUGUCGAUACAGUACUCCUCGCUAGGCCCUGUAGAGCUGAAGGUGUCGAUACAGUACUCCUCGCUAGGCCCUGUAGAGCUGAAGGUGUCGAUACAGUACUCCUCGCUAGGCCCUGUAGAGCUGAAGGUGUCGAUACAGUACUCCUCGCUAGGCCCUGUAGAGCUGAAGGUGUCGAUACAGUACUCCUCGCUAGGCCCUGUAGAGCUGAGGGUGUCGAAACUGUGAGGUUCUGUGUUAUGCACUAUAGCCCCUUACCAUAUCAUAUGUGAUUGAAUAUUAUCUGCUGUUGGCUUGUGUGGAUGUAUGUGUUAUGCAACAUGGCUGACUUG
Molecule: long non-coding RNA, 1042 nt
Organism: Oncorhynchus tshawytscha (Chinook salmon)
Lineage: Eukaryota; Metazoa; Chordata; Actinopteri; Salmoniformes; Salmonidae
Source: Ensembl